GGGGCGGUAGCUUAAAUGGAUAAAGCAAGAGUUUCCUAAACUCUAGACUGCGGGUUCGAGUCCCGCCCGUCCCA
RNAcentral lists this transfer RNA (74 nucleotides) under Acidobacteriota bacterium. Its description in RNAcentral is "Acidobacteria bacterium tRNA-Arg". It matches the Rfam family "tRNA". Rfam says of the family: Transfer RNA (tRNA) molecules are approximately 80 nucleotides in length. Their secondary structure includes four short double-helical elements and three loops (D, anti-codon, and T loops). Lineage: Bacteria; Pseudomonadati; Acidobacteriota. The record is from RNAcentral. RNAcentral also lists the same sequence under 1 other name.